RNAcentral lists this ribosomal RNA (547 nucleotides) under uncultured bacterium. RNAcentral describes it as "bacterial SSU rRNA". It matches the Rfam family "Bacterial small subunit ribosomal RNA", at positions 848 to 1394 of the family's 1533-position model. The record is from RNAcentral. RNAcentral also lists the same sequence under 1 other name.
GCAGCUAACGCAUUAAGCACUCCGCCUGGGGAGUACGACCGCAAGGUUGAAACUCGAAGGAAUUGACGGGGACCCGCACAAGCGGUGGAGCAUGUGGUUUAAUUCGAAGCAACGCGAAGAACCUUACCAAAUCUUGACAUCCUCUGACCCCUCUAGAGAUAGAGUUUUCCCCUUCGGGGGACAGAGUGACAGGUGGUGCAUGGUUGUCGUCAGCUCGUGUCGUGAGAUGUUGGGUUAAGUCCCGCAACGAGCGCAACCCUUAAGCUUAGUUGCCAUCAUUAAGUUGGGCACUCUAAGUUGACUGCCGGCGACAAACCGGAGGAAGGUGGGGAUGACGUCAAAUCAUCAUGCCCCUUAUGAUUUGGGCUACACACGUGCUACAAUGGACAAUACAAAGGGCAGCGAAACCGCGAGGUCAAGCAAAUCCCAUAAAGUUGUUCUCAGUUCGGAUUGUAGUCUGCAACUCGACUAUAUGAAGCUGGAAUCGUUAGUAAUCGUAGAUUAGCAUGCUACGGUGAAUACGUUCCCGGGCCUUGUACACACCGCC